GACGAACGCUGGCGGCGUGCCUAAUACAUGCAAGUCGAGCGGACGAAUCGAAAGCUUGCUUUUGAUUCGUUAGCGGCGGACGGGUGAGUAACACGUGGGCAACCUGCCCUGUAGACGGGGAUAACACCGAGAAAUCGGUGCUAAUACCGGAUAACACGAAAUGUCGCAUGACGUUUCGUUGAAAGACGGCGCAAGCUGCCGCUACAGGAUGGGCCCGCGGCGCAUUAGCUAGUUGGUGAGGUAACGGCUCACCAAGGCGACGAUACGUAGCCGACCUGAGAGGGUGAUCGGCCACACUGGGACUGAGACACGGCCCAGACUCCUACGGGAGGCAGCAGUAGGGAAUCUUCCGCAAUGGACGAAAGUCUGACGGAGCAACGCCGCGUGAGCGAAGAAGGCCUUCGGGUCGUAAAGCUCUGUUGUUAGGGAAGAACAAGUAACGCAGUAACUGGCGUUACCGUGACGGUACCUAACGAGAAAGCCACGGCUAACUACGUGC
Molecule: ribosomal RNA, 499 nt
Filed under: uncultured bacterium
Lineage: Bacteria
Description: partial 16S ribosomal RNA
Rfam family: Bacterial small subunit ribosomal RNA
Source: RNAcentral